AAGUCGUAACAAGGUUUCCGUAGGUGAACCUGCGGAAGGAUCAUUAACGAGUAAAGUCCUUCGGGACUUUCUUAUCCAAACACCUGUGAAAAUUAAUUUUUGCUUUGGGAAUUUAAUUAUUCCCAACAAUCAAAACCACUAAGUUGUCUUUUGUCUGAAUGAUUAUUUAAAAAUCAAAACUUUCAACAACGGAUCUCUUGGUUCUCGCAUCGAUGAAGAACGCAGCGAAACGCGAUAUGUAAUGUGAAUUGCAGACUUUGUGAAUCAUCGAAUCUUUGAACGCACAUUGCGCCCUCUGGUAUUCCGGAGGGCAUACCUGUUUGAGCGUCAGUUCUCUCUCAAAAAAGAUUUUAUUUUUUUUGGUAUUGCUCGUACUUUUCUUAAGUUGAGUGAAAUGAAUUGGCAAGGCAGUUUUCUAGCUAUCAACGUAUUAGGUUUUACCAUUUCGUUGGAAGAGCAAAAAGACAAGCCGGGCGAUAUAACUGGGUUUUACCCAAAUAUUUGACCUCAAAUCAGGCAGGACUACCCGCUGAACUUAAGCAUAUCAAUAAGCGGAGGAAAAGAAACCAACAGGGAUUGCCUUAGUAACGGCGAGUGAAGCGGCAAAAGCUCAAAUUUGAAAUCUGGCAGCAAUGUCCGAGUUGUAAUUUGAAGAGAGUAACUUUGAGUUGGGUCCUUGCAUAUGUUCCUUGGAACAGGACGUCAUAGAGGGUGAGAAUCCCGUUCUGUGAGGUGACCCUUCUCUUGUAAAGUGCCCUAGAAGAGUCGAGUUGUUUGGGAAUGCAGCUCUAAGUGGGUGGUAAAUUCCAUCUAAAGCUAAAUAUUGGCGAGAGACCGAUAGCGAACAAGUACAGUGAUGGAAAGAUGAAAAGAACUUUGAAAAGAGAGUGAAAAAGUACGUGAAAUUGUUGAAAGGGAAGGGCUUGAAAUCAGACUUGGUAUUCAGUGAUCAACUUUCUUUCGGGAAUGUGCACUCGCUGUUUACUGGGCCAGUAUCGGUUUUGGCGGUGGGAUAAUGGUAUAGGAAUGUGGCUCCUCGGAGUGUUAUAGCCUAUAUUGAUACCACCAGCUGGGACCGAGGACCGCGCUUUUAGCUAGGAUACUGGCGUAAUGAUUUUAAGCCACC
Molecule: ribosomal RNA, 1126 nt
Filed under: uncultured fungus
Lineage: Eukaryota; Fungi
Description: eukaryotic LSU rRNA
Rfam family: Eukaryotic large subunit ribosomal RNA (bases 503-1126)
Source: RNAcentral